GCGGGGAUAGCGAAGCGGUCAAACGUAUUAGACUAAGGAUCUAACGGCUUAGUGCCUUCGCAGGUUCGAAUUGAAUCUUUUUAGAAAAAAGCUUCGGCAAAAAACUAAAGAAAAAACGAAAGUCCUGUUCCCCGCA
Molecule: transfer RNA, 136 nt
Filed under: Nanobdellota archaeon
Lineage: Archaea; Nanobdellati; Nanobdellota
Also listed under: 1 other name
Description: tRNA-Leu
Rfam family: tRNA
About the family: Transfer RNA (tRNA) molecules are approximately 80 nucleotides in length. Their secondary structure includes four short double-helical elements and three loops (D, anti-codon, and T loops).
Source: RNAcentral